Molecule: ribosomal RNA, 410 nt
Filed under: uncultured Pseudomonas sp.
Lineage: Bacteria; Pseudomonadati; Pseudomonadota; Gammaproteobacteria; Pseudomonadales; Pseudomonadaceae
Description: bacterial SSU rRNA
Rfam family: Bacterial small subunit ribosomal RNA
Source: RNAcentral
ACUGGCUAAUACCGCAUGAGAUCGAGAGAUGAAAGCAGGGGACCCGCAAGGGCCUUGCGCGAGAGGAGCGGCCGAUGCCCGAUUAGCUAGUUGGCGGGGUAAAAGCCCACCAAGGCGACGAUCGGUAGCUGGUCUGAGAGGACGACCAGCCACACUGGAACUGAGACACGGUCCAGACUCCUACGGGAGGCAGCAGUGGGGAAUAUUGGACAAUGGGCGCAAGCCUGAUCCAGCCAUGCCGCGUGUGUGAAGAAGGUCUUCGGAUUGUAAAGCACUUUAAGUUGGGAGGAAGGGCAGUAAGUUAAUACCUUGCUGUUUUGACGUUACCAACAGAAUAAGCACCGGCUAACUUCGUGCCAGCAGCCGCGGUAAUACGAAGGGUGCAAGCGUUAAUCGGAAUUACUGGGCGU